Transfer RNA from Aspergillus clavatus NRRL 1, 94 nucleotides. It matches the Rfam family "tRNA". Rfam says of the family: Transfer RNA (tRNA) molecules are approximately 80 nucleotides in length. Their secondary structure includes four short double-helical elements and three loops (D, anti-codon, and T loops). Lineage: Eukaryota; Fungi; Ascomycota; Eurotiomycetes; Eurotiales; Aspergillaceae. The record is from Rfam.
GCCCGAUUAACUCAGUUGGUUAGAGUGUCAGACUUUUACCUUCGUUCCGUUGUUAGAAAUCUGAAAGUCACGAGUUCGACCCUCGUAUCGGGCG